This 449-nucleotide ribosomal RNA is filed under the name uncultured bacterium. RNAcentral's name for it is "SSU rRNA". It matches the Rfam family "Bacterial small subunit ribosomal RNA", at positions 26 to 518 of the family's 1533-position model. The record is from RNAcentral.
AGAACGAACGCUGGCGGCAGGCUUAACACAUGCAAGUCGAACGGUUGUAGCAAUACAGCAGUGGCAGACGGGUGAGUAACACGUGGGAACCUUCCUAGGGGUACGGAACAACUCAGGGAAACUUGAGCUAAUACCGUAUACGUCCGUGAGGAGAAAGUUUUAACGCCCCUAGACGGGCCCGCGUAGGAUUAGGUAGUUGGUGAGGUAACGGCUCACCAAGCCUACGAUCCUUAGCUGAUCUGAGAGGAUGAUCAGCCACACUGGGACUGAGACACGGCCCAGACUCCUACGGGAGGCAGCAGUGGGGAAUCUUGGACAAUGGGCGCAAGCCUGAUCCAGCCAUGCCGCGUGAGUGAAGAAGGCCUUCGGGUUGUAAAGCGUCUUUUACCUAGGGACGAUAAUGACGGUACCUGGAGAAUAAGCCCGGCAACUUACGUGCCAGCAGCCGC